GGAUGAGUGGAUGAGACCCAGGAAGCCCAAGGCCUUAGAGGAUGGGGACUGUGACCAGCGCUGGUGUGGCCUGGGCACCUCCCCCUUCUCAGCACUCCAGCCAGCCAGCCCAGGAGACCUCCAGAGGUGCCAGCUCAGACAGAGGGAACUUUGUGGAGGCCCUGGCACGCAUGUGUGGGUCUCUGUAUCCAAGGCUGUGUACCUAGGUGUGCCUCUCUGUGAGACUGUCUCUCCAGGGAUUUCUUGCACCUUCAACACCUGGGAGAGCUGCACUUCCAACAUUUGAGAAAGGCCUCUGGACCCUCAUGCGUGAGGAGACUGCCCGUCCAUAUCUGCCUCUGCCCGCCUCAUCCAAGUGGAAAGGCCUUGGGUCCCCACAUCUAGGAGGAGACUGAACGUCCUCAUCUUGGAAGCCCCCCUAGACUUCUGCACAGCUACUGCCGGUUUCCCCACUUUAGAGGGUCUAUGAGUGGCUCUACAUUCCCUGGCCCCAGGAAGUGUGAGCAGCUCUGCCAACACAAGUACUUCGGGCAUAUUUAUUGAGUUCCUACUUGGUAUUGGUCACGGGUUCGUGCUUUGCUGUGCUGUGGGGGAGCCUAGGAUAGAGAGUACCGGGGUAUUCGAGAGAUCGGUCCACCAUGGCUGGGACAGGACCAGGCACGACUCUAGAAGCUCCUGACUCUCUCCAACCUAGAAUCUCUCCUAAGAAGAUGAUCAGUUUGGGCAGAAGCUGUCAGGUAGGCCUUCCUACCCUAUUUCAUAGGUCAGUGACUCCUAAGUGUUCUGAACGGGAUCCUUUUCUCAUCCUACUCUACAUAGUCUCCAUGGAUGCGCACAUCUCUGAAGCUAUGUCAUGAAGACCCUCUGUGCUUCCCAAAUCCAGCCUUACUUUAUCUCUGGAAUUCUAACCAUAGAUCCAAAUGUCUUCCAGAAUCAGGGCGUGUGUUGAUUCCUGGUUCUGCCAUUUAAUAGCUACUGAAGGUAGCUAUUAUUAGUAAUAGUAAUUAGUAAUAGCUAUUCAAGGUAGCUUCAACCUCUCAAGGUUGUAAUUCACCAAUUCAUUUAUACCUAACCCCUUGUGUCUCAGCAAAUGCCAACUGACACAACCCCAAGGACCAUAUGGCUAAGGGGUCCCUUCCCUCAGUGCCAUGAAAUUCACAUGAAAGCCCGAUAAAUCCAAAUGCUAUCUUGAAAACAAGAAAGGGAAGGGUAAGAUAAUCUGAAAGACUGAGUCAUACUUACAGGCUGUCUAAAAUAAAAUUUUGGACCCUA
This is a long non-coding RNA of Mustela lutreola (European mink), 1272 nucleotides long. RefSeq lists it as uncharacterized. The transcript has 2 exons. NCBI's taxonomy places the organism in Eukaryota, Metazoa, Chordata, Mammalia, Carnivora, Mustelidae. The record is from RefSeq and is a predicted model, not a curated record.